AUCCUCUCAUCCUACAUAUUUACACCUGUGCACCCUUUGUAGGCUCUCUCGAAAGAGGGGGUCUAUGUUCCAAACGUACUCUAUGUACUACUAUACACAAUCCAAGGCCAGAAUGUCAUACAAUUUACAACUUUCAGCAACGGAUCUCUUGGCUCUCGCAUCGAUGAAGAACGCAGCGAAUCGCGAUAAGUAAUGUGAAUUGCAGAUUUCCAGUGAAUCAUCGAAUCUUUGAACGCACUUUGCGCUCCUUGGUACUCCGAGGAGCAUGCCUGUUUGAGUGUCAUGUUACUCUCAACCAUGUCUCGAUUCGUUUCGAGGCAUGGCUUGGAUUUGGGAGCUUUGCCGGCCUCGCGGUCGACUCUCCUUAAAUGCAUUAGCGAAUAGGUCGUGUCAGUGGGUCUGGCGGGCAAUCAAUAGCCUUUCGACGUGAUAACAAUCGUAUAUCGGAGUCGAGGCUCGCGCGCCGGGUGUAAGACACGUUCUCUGUUCGCUUCCAAUCCCCAAACCUGCUUAGCUAGUAGUCGGUCGAUCGAUAGAUCACCUUCGAACACAAAGGCAGGACCACCUUUUGACCACUUUGACCUCAAAUCAGGUAGGACUACCCGCUGA
RNAcentral lists this ribosomal RNA (609 nucleotides) under uncultured fungus. RNAcentral's name for it is "eukaryotic LSU rRNA". The stretch from base 129 to 283 matches the Rfam family "5.8S ribosomal RNA". Lineage: Eukaryota; Fungi. The record is from RNAcentral.